This is a non-coding RNA of Peromyscus maniculatus bairdii (prairie deer mouse), 124 nucleotides long. Lineage: Eukaryota; Metazoa; Chordata; Mammalia; Rodentia; Cricetidae. The record is from RefSeq and is a predicted model, not a curated record.
AAGGGAAGUCAUCCAGGGCAGCACACAAUGACCUCAAGGUUCUUGAUGAGACUAGAUGAUAAACAGCUCAUUUUGUUUCCAAUUCAUUUACUUUUGAACUUUUUAUUUUAAUUCUUCAAUAUUU